RNAcentral lists this long non-coding RNA (206 nucleotides) under Nicotiana benthamiana. RNAcentral describes it as "long non-coding RNA (NBEN_LNC017842)". The record is from RNAcentral. Lineage: Eukaryota; Viridiplantae; Streptophyta; Magnoliopsida; Solanales; Solanaceae.
AACUGACUAAAUAAACCAAAAGGUAUGCAAACUGGUCAUUGCCUGCGUUGAUUUAAAGUGUCUGCAGGCCGCAAGUAAGACAAAAACUAGCAAUGGAAUUCUUGAAAUAAGAUAACUAUACUUGAAGUUGAAAGGUUUUUCUUCAUUAUAUUAUACUAAUUUCGAGCGGUGGAAACAACCUUGUAGAAAUGCAGGAUAAAGUUACG